RNAcentral lists this ribosomal RNA (404 nucleotides) under uncultured bacterium. Its description in RNAcentral is "bacterial SSU rRNA". It matches the Rfam family "Bacterial small subunit ribosomal RNA", at positions 32 to 416 of the family's 1533-position model. The record is from RNAcentral.
AAUCAACGCUGGCGGCGUGCCUCAGACAUGCAAGUCGAACGCGAAAGUUUCCUUCGGGGAACAAGUAGAGUGGCGCACGGGUGAGUAACACGUAGGUAAUCUACCUUUGGAUGGGGAAUAACAAUCGGAAACGGUUGCUAAUACCGCAUAAUGCAGCGGCACCUAAUGGUGACAGUUGUUAAAGCGGGGGGAUCGAAAGACCUCGCGUCUGAAGAGGAGCCUGCGGCGGAUUAGCAGUUGGUAAGGUAAUGGCUUACCAAGGCUACGAUCCGUAGCUGGUCUGAGAGGAUGAUCAGCCACACUGGGACUGAGACACGGCCCAGACUCCUACGGGAGGCAGCAGUGGGGAAUAUUGGACAAUGGGGCAACCCUGAUCCAGCAAUGCCGCGUGAGUGAAGAAGGCC